Molecule: long non-coding RNA, 157 nt
Organism: Alosa sapidissima (American shad)
Lineage: Eukaryota; Metazoa; Chordata; Actinopteri; Clupeiformes; Clupeidae
Exons: 3
Source: RefSeq, a predicted model, not a curated record
AUUUAACUGUUCACAUAAAACGGUCAUAUAAAAUUAUUUCCUUCAAUUCCCCCUUUUCAAGUCCUUAAAGACUUGAAUAUCUAAACUUGCUAACAUAAAUUAUGAAUCAGCUUAUUAACAACAGAGGACUUUUAGGGUGUGGAAGGAGGUUACAGAU